RNAcentral lists this ribosomal RNA (995 nucleotides) under Coelorinchus labiatus. RNAcentral describes it as "partial 16S ribosomal RNA". It matches the Rfam family "Bacterial large subunit ribosomal RNA", at positions 979 to 2564 of the family's 2925-position model. Lineage: Eukaryota; Metazoa; Chordata; Actinopteri; Gadiformes; Macrouridae. The record is from RNAcentral.
AGGAGUUAGACAGAAGGGGUACAGCUCUUCUGAAUAAAGAAACAACUUUAGUAGGUGAACCAGGAUCAUACCAAUCAAGGACUAAAAUUUAAGUGGGCCUAAAAGCAGCCACCUUUAAAGAAAGCGUUAAAGCUCCAACUAUCUAAUGCAUCCUUUUAUACUGAUAUAUCUCUUCUCCCCCCCUACUAUUUAAUAGGCUGUCUUAUGCCCCCAUAAGAAUAAUUAUGCUAAAAUGAGUAAUAAGAAGAAAAUUCUUCUCCCAGCAUAAGUGUAAGUCAGACCGGACCAUCCGCCGAUUAUUACACGACCCCAAACUCAGAGGGACCUAAGUUAAAAAACAACAAGAAAAACACUUAACUAAUAUCGUUAACCCUACACAGGAAUGCACUAAGGAAAGACUAAAAGGAAAGAAAGGAACUCGGCAAACUCAAGCCUCGCCUGUUUACCAAAAACAUCGCCUCUUGACCCACACCGCAUAAGAGGUCUCGCCUGCCCAGUGACUAAAUGUUAAACGGCCGUGGUAUCUUAACCAUGCGAAGGUAGCGUAAUCAUUUGUCUUUUAAAUGAAGACCUGUAUGAAUGGCAAAACGAGGGCUUAACUGUCUCCCUUCCCCAGUCAAUGAAAUUGACCUCCCCGUGCAGAGGCGGGGAUAUAACUAUAAGACGAGAAGACCCUGUGGAGCUUUAGACUUAAAAUAACCCUGUAAAACGAGCUCUAAUACAAGCAUAAACUUAGUAAAACUUAUUUAAAUGUCUUUGGUUGGGGUGACCACGGGGUAAAACAUAACCCCCACGAAGAUUGGGGAUAUUUCCCUAACACUAAGAGACACCCCUCUAAGUAACAAAAUUUUUGACUUUAAAAAUGAUCCGGUAUGACCGAUUAACGAACUCAGUUACCCCAGGGAUAACAGCGCAAUCCCCUCCCAGAGCCCUUAUCGACGAGGGGGUUUACGACCUCGAUGUUGGAUCAGGACAUCCUAAUGGUGCAGCCGCUA